GAUGAAGAACGCAGCGAAAUGCGAUAAGUAAUGUGAAUUGCAGAAUUCAGUGAAUCAUCGAAUCUUUGAACGCACAUUGCGCCCGCCAGUAUUCUGGCGGGCAUGCCUGUUCGAGCGUCAUUUCAACCAUCAAGCCCCAGGCUUGUGUUGGGGACCUGCGGCUGCCGCAGGCCCUGAAAACCAGUGGCGGGCUCGCUGUCACACCGGGCGUAGUAGAUUUUAUCUCGCUCAGGGCGUGCUGCGGGUUCCGGCCGUUAAAAAGCCUUUUUUACCCAAGGUUGACCUCGGAUCAGGUAGGAAGACCCGCUGAACUUAAGCAUAUCAAUAAGCGGA
Molecule: unclassified non-coding RNA, 333 nt
Filed under: soil metagenome
Description: partial contains 5.8S ribosomal RNA, internal transcribed spacer 2, and large subunit ribosomal RNA
Rfam family: 5.8S ribosomal RNA (bases 1-120)
Source: RNAcentral